Molecule: ribosomal RNA, 253 nt
Filed under: uncultured bacterium
Lineage: Bacteria
Description: partial 16S ribosomal RNA
Rfam family: Bacterial small subunit ribosomal RNA
Source: RNAcentral
UACGAAGGGGGCUAGCGUUGCUCGGAAUGACUGGGCGUAAAGGGCGCGUAGGCGGUUCGUACAGUCAGGCGUGAAAUCCCUCGGCUUAACCGGGGAACUGCGUCUGAUACUGGUUGGCUUGAGUUUGGGAGAGGGACGCGGAAUUCCAGGUGUAGCGGUGAAAUGCGUAGAUAUCGAGAGGAACACCUGCGGCGAAGGCGGGUUGCUGGGCUGACACUGACGCUGAAGCGCGAAAGCUAGGGGAGCGAACGGG